Ictidomys tridecemlineatus (thirteen-lined ground squirrel) is the source of this 71-nucleotide non-coding RNA. The record is from Rfam. NCBI's taxonomy places the organism in Eukaryota, Metazoa, Chordata, Mammalia, Rodentia, Sciuridae.
GGGGGUAUGAUUCAGUGGUAAAGCACUUGCCUAGCAGGCAAGGGCCCUGGGUUUGAUCCCCAGUAACUACA